UACGGAGGGUGCAAGCGUUAAUCGGAAUUACUGGCGUAAAGCGUGCGCAGGCGGUUUUGUAAGCCAGAUGUGAAAUCCCCGGGCUUAACUUGGGAACUGCAUUUGGGACUGCAAGGCUGGAGUACGGCAGAGGGAGGUGGAAUUCCUGGUGUAGCGGUGGAAUGCGCAGAUAUCAGGAGGAACACCGAUGGCGAAGGCAGCCCCCUGGCUAACACUGACGCUGAGGCACGAAAGCGAUGGGGA
Molecule: ribosomal RNA, 243 nt
Filed under: uncultured bacterium
Lineage: Bacteria
Description: partial 16S ribosomal RNA
Rfam family: Bacterial small subunit ribosomal RNA
Source: RNAcentral